This 1243-nucleotide long non-coding RNA is filed under the name Coccomyxa subellipsoidea. Its description in RNAcentral is "long non-coding RNA (CSUB_LNC000173)". Lineage: Eukaryota; Viridiplantae; Chlorophyta; Trebouxiophyceae; Coccomyxaceae. The record is from RNAcentral.
UAUUAUAAGGUCAGAUUUCUGUCCUUGCAGCUCCGCACAGUGUGAGGAUAGAAAUUUUCAAGAGGAAGGUGCAGGAGGAUGGCUGUUUUACAGAGUUUGCGAAAGCUGCAGGACCACAAAGAUCAGCCGCUCACAGCUGUCUUGAGAGGUAGGCCAUAGCCUGACUUGGCUAUUGGCAUGUCCAUGCAUGUCUUACUCAAGUUGGAUCAUGUACUUCGCUGAUGGAGGUCAGGAAAUUUGUGUCACUUGGUUGUGACACCCAGAAAUGAGACAACUGACAUCAGCAUCGGUCUCUUCACGGUUGCUCUCACAGUGUCCGGCUUCCCCAUAUCCUGCCUGCGCAUGAAGGACGCUCAUGCAUUGUCAUCUGUCCUUUCAGACCGUAUCAUCUCGGAGCUGCACCGUCUGCGAAGCUUGAUUCAGUGUCGUGAUCAUCGCCAUCUUGUAAUCCUGGUCGAAGAUGAUGUGAUACAAGUGUUCUUUGGCUGGUGUGCGUGGGCGGCUAGUCCGGAAGUCCAACACCGCAAAGUCGUGAACAUGGCCUUCCUGAAUAAGCUUGUGGUACGUGCCGCCAGCUUCAAACCUACAGCAGCCGCGCCACCCUUUGCACAUGGCACCGAGGUUGCAACAAGCUGAACAUGACCAUGUAUAUGAAAGUUGACAAGGCAAUACAUCAGCGAAAGGCAUCACCAGGGGCCCACCUUUUCAUGUGUCCAGAAGCAUCCUUGCCAUCUCGCAUCAACUCAAUGGCCCAAUUGAAGUCGGACAGAAAGUCCACAAAACCGUUGAUGCCAAACAGACGGCCAGCAUCUGGGCUCAAAUGUGUGCCACGUGCAAGCAGUGUCAUGGCUGCCCUGUCACAAGUUAACAGAAUUUACUCAGGCAAAUAGAUACUUGUUGAAGCGACCCCAGGAGGCCAAAUAGCACAGCCAUUGAAGCCUACCUGUAGAACUCAUUCUGCCAGUGUCGCUCGUAUACAUUGCCCGUGCGGUCCCGCGAGAAGGACUUGGACAGCUGGGCAGGCGACAUGCGCUCCACCACCAUCGCAAUGAAGCUGGCAAUGCCCGAAUUGACGCAGAGCCUGAGAAUCUCCAACAGUUGUGCAGAAGUGUUGACGCAUAAAAAACACCUCGUGCAGUCUGGACGGGAAGCUGAACAUGCGCCGCUCCUCCACGAGCUGCCCCAAGCGCACCAACGUGCCAGCCAACUCACGCACAGGAUCUGUCAUGUCAUCUGCAGAAAC